Molecule: long non-coding RNA, 401 nt
Filed under: Actinidia chinensis (golden kiwifruit)
Lineage: Eukaryota; Viridiplantae; Streptophyta; Magnoliopsida; Ericales; Actinidiaceae
Description: long non-coding RNA (ACHI_LNC001612)
Source: RNAcentral
CACAUCGCAAAUUCAAAGGUUUUAGAGCUGGAGAUGGAGGAACUGUAAGAUGCUUAUCCCAAUUUUAUGUGUCUAUUUCUAUUUUAGUUUUCGCCAAGUUCUUGUUUUGGAAAUGAAUAGGAAAAACAUUGAUUUUCCGUACUUGUUUCGUAUUUGUAAUUUGUAAUUUUUAUCUUGAUUUUUAAGUUUUGUUUUGCAGGGUAAGAAAAUUCAUGGAUAAAGAAGUUUUGGUGAUAUAUAUAUAGUGCUUGUGUAAGUUUUAUGAGUUCUAAACAGGAAUGUAAUGAAGAUUCUUAAGUUCUGUUCUACCCAAAAAAUUGUAAAUGGUGAUUAUUUUGGAUUUGUUCUCGGUUUGAAUUACUCUAAUUAUGAACUAAUAAACAUUUAUGUUGUGAUUUUAU